UACAGAGGGUGCGAGCGUUGUCCGGAAUCACUGGGCGUAAAGGGCGCGUAGGUGGUGGCUUAAGCGUGCGGUGAAAGCUCGGGGCUCAACCCCCGAGUCGGCCGUGCGAACUGGGCUCACUGGAGCAUAGUAGAGGCAGGUGGAAUUCCGGGUGUAGCGGUGGAAUGCGUAGAGAUCCGGAAGGAACAUCAGUGGCGAAAGCGGCUUCCUGGACCAGAACUGACCGAUCAGGCACGAAAGCGUGGGGAGCAAACAGGG
Molecule: ribosomal RNA, 258 nt
Filed under: uncultured bacterium
Lineage: Bacteria
Description: partial 16S ribosomal RNA
Rfam family: Bacterial small subunit ribosomal RNA
Source: RNAcentral